This 554-nucleotide long non-coding RNA is filed under the name Gossypium barbadense (sea-island cotton). RNAcentral describes it as "long non-coding RNA (GBAR_LNC000657)". The record is from RNAcentral. Lineage: Eukaryota; Viridiplantae; Streptophyta; Magnoliopsida; Malvales; Malvaceae.
GUGAAGCCUUGGAACAUCUGUAUGAAGCAUCUCCUCUUGGGAUUCACCGAACUUCGUAGCUUGCAACAACCAGUCCAUUUCCUUUUUCCUAUGCUGAGGCAGCACCAACAAAUCAAUCCAUCGAAGUUCCUAUUGACAUACAUAAAUGAAAAUAGGGAUGCCGUUGCUGAUUCGGAUCAUCUCAAUCAAUUAAUUGGGAAAAUAUUACUUUUUGAAUGCUACUUUUCACUUGUCUUCCGCGAGUCUGAGACCUUACUUCUUCGACUACUCGACUUUUGCAAGUCCUUAUCUCAAAAAAAUUUCCUAAAUUUCUCAGAGUCUAUUCUAAAAAAAAUCCACUAAUAGCCCUAUAAUGGAUUGAGUUACAUAGUGCCACCAAGGGUUGGAACCCACUUUUAAGUAGUUUAUAUGCACGCAUGCAUGUGUCAUCACCUCAUUGGUCGGAGAUCCAAAGGUCCAUAAAAAAAAGAUUCUUCUUUUUUUAUAUAUAUAUUUCUAAUUAUUAUAUUAGUUUUUCUUAGAAGAGGUACACUCCCUAGAAGAUUUUCUCGGGG